GGGCAAAAAAUGAUGAAUGAGUGAUUCACAUUGGACUCAAACAAACAACAUAGAGAAUAUUGAUUGAAUUGGAUUGUGGAUGUUGAUGCAAGAAGCGAACGAUCGGUUAUUGACGAAUCCAACAUUCCUUGCAAAUCACCACCUUUUGGCUUGAACAUUUCGUUCAUACCCAUCUAAAUGAAAGCAAUGUUUUAACUUUGAUUUAUUCGCACCUUCUAUUUUUGAAAAGAGUUGAAACAUACCUAUUUCAAAAUCGGAUCAAGCUGAAUUUCAUACUCCAACGUAAACCGUGGAAGUUUAACAUGAACAAGCUCUUUCUUCAUUCCAUUGGUGACUUCUGACAAGUCGUAGCCCAUCAAUUUAGAUUUCAACUCGCGUAAGCCCACACGAGAGUUUGGAAGAACAACUACGAAUGACAAAUCGGUUUCCCAGUAUUUUAUUUCGAGUGCGAUAGCGCCCAAACUAUCCAGCUUCGCAUAUUUGAAUUCUGAUGUAUGGAUCAUGUAUUUAACUUGAACGAUUUCAUUUUCUUUCGUGUGAAAAUCACCCACUUCAGUCGAUUCCACAGCGAACUGAUAAUUCCAUGUGUCAAAGAAGCAUACACCAUUUACAAAUACAACCCUAUCCAAGGCUCCAGAAAUGUCUGAUUUAAUCGCAAUCGGAACUUGGCUGUUCUGACCUCUUGUUGGUUACCAAAAUCGACUACCACAAAGCUUGUGCCAAAUUUCUCCGUCGCAAUUUUGCAAAAAUCCGAGUUCAAAGUCAUUCCAAUCGGUACGCAAAUUUGGUUCACGAUCGAAAAUUCUGCGCGCAAUUUUUCCUUUCCAAUAGAUCUUUCGACUCUCUCAAUGAAUUCGGCCAACUGACGCUGAAUUUGUGCCUUGUUAGCAUCCAUAUUGCGUACGCCAAGUACUCUCAUCACUUCGUCCAACGUAUUCCCUUUUGCCACUUGUGCGAUCAAAAUAAGCACAUUUGCAAUACUUAGCGGGCUUAUUACGCAUCAACAUUGAUUCACAAGGCCGUUCUGCGGAAUACCUUAGAAGGUUCCGCCCGUGGCACCCAUCCACGUUGUAUGGAGUUUCGAACGACUGACGAACCUAUCAAAUUUCAUAUUGACCACCCGUUCUUCUUCUUCAUUCAUAGCAAAUCCACAUCAAUACCCGUAUUCUACGGAACUGUUUACAUGCCCGAGCCAGCAAAUGUCCAUGAUUCGAAUUGAAUAUUGAAAAUGAAAUGAAAUGAAACAAAAGAUUUUUUUCUAAUUACAAUAAAAUUCAGUACAACAA
Molecule: long non-coding RNA, 1286 nt
Organism: Sitodiplosis mosellana (orange wheat blossom midge)
Lineage: Eukaryota; Metazoa; Arthropoda; Insecta; Diptera; Cecidomyiidae
Exons: 2
Source: RefSeq, a predicted model, not a curated record